CCUAGUAACAACGAUAGCAACUGAAGCUACCAGCUGGCUAACCGUAAAUGAAUCAGGGUUCAUUGUCCCUCCGUUGUUUUCGAAGAUGGUAUGGUUGAGAGACGGAAGAGAAACAUGUCUCUCGAUGAAGGUGAAUCAGAGGAGAGUCACUGGGUGGAGACACUGUUCCCCCCUCACUUCUCCUUUCAGAGCCUAGUGGAAAACAAACAGUCCACUGGUCAGAGUGACAAAUCUGGGGUCAGGGCACCCUGCAGCCCAGCCACUCAGUACUACCAGGAGGGCUCUGGGAGGCAGUACAUCUACAAGGCUUCACUACAUGUUCAGGAGAGAAAAAACGAAAAAGGAGGAGUUGGUAAAAAUGAUUUCCACAGAUGACUCUGAAGAGAGAGAGAAGCAUGUGUAUGACUGAUCCAGCUCCUAAUCAAAAGGAAGAGGUCACAGGAGGGUCGAAAGAAGGAGAGAGCAGCAGUUGCAUUUGGACUAAUCGGGAUAUUGACACCUUCAGGAAAGUUCAGCGUUCGAUGGAAGAGGACCGGGGCAGGCUAAGAUCUCAGCUCAGGGACGCCCUGGUAGAGUUGCGAGGGCAGGAGGACACGAGAAGGCAGAUGCAGGCUCUCCUUGAAGCGAACGAGCAGAGUCUGGUAAAGGCCAAGCAUGAUGCAACACUGCGGGCUAUAAACAUAAAAGCUCUGCAGGCCAAGGAUGACUGUCAAGCUUCACAUGGAAGCAGAACAGGUCAAACACAUCAUGGAGGAGAAGACAAGAGUGGAGGAGAGACUGAGGACAGUUUCAAAAGAGGUACACGAUGUGAGGAGAGAGAACUCCAACUUGACUUGGGAUAUUGAAAAGCUUAGGAAUCAUCUGGGGACUGAGAUGGACAGACAAAAAAAGGCCAUGAAGUUGGAGCGUGAUGUGGCUCUGCAGAAGUUGCAGCGAGAGCUGGAGGAGACCAAGUCACAGCUGCAGAAAGAGAGGGACAGCCAUACACGCAGUUGUACCGCUUUGGAUCUUCUGCGAAGGCACUUUAACAACCGAUCACAUGACAGGGCACAAGGGAUCACCACGGGACAAGAUCACACAUAGUUAGCAGUGACCAUAGGGGUACCUUUAACACAUGGGCAAUUAUUAUUAUAUGUUGUUUUGUGUGUGCAAAGAAUAAGAUAUACAAGUGAACAAUGUGGUGUUUUAAAACUUUAAUUUCAUAUGCUUUCAAACAUUCACCUUUUAAAAUAAAGCUAUGUACACUUUAAAUCCUCUCCCACAGUAAAUAAGGAAAAUAUCUGAAACACAAAAGGCUAUGGGGGAAAAAGAAGGCAAUAGAGUGAAAAAAGUAAAGCACAAAAAAUGUUUACAGUUCAAAUGGAAGUAUCUAAUCAAAAACCAUUAAGCUAGGUUUGAUCUAGCCAAUGACUUAUCAAAUAACCAAGAGGUAGGGUCAUGACUAUAUAGGCUAUAUAUUUUUUAAAGGACUUAUGGGGGCCACCAGUUUCCUUGGUAGCAUCUUUCUGUUCUAUUGUUUUACAUGUACGACAACAGGUUACAUGGAUUUUUCCCAAAACAUUCAAAGAACCUUCAAGGAAACCACACUUCUAUUUAGGAUCAUUAUAAUUUGGUUUGUUGUAGCUUACAUGAUUUAAGAUAUUUAUGGAUUUUCUGAACUCAUAAAGUUUACUUUUGUAUUUGUGAAAUAAUAUUUAAUUGCUAAAUAACAACAAUGUAUAUUAAUGCCAACUACUAUGCUAAUUGCAUCUGGUGCUGCUGUAAAUUCAGUGCUACAUGUUUGGGACUAGUAAUGCAUACUUUUCUUUUUGUGUAUUAACUUUGGUUUGACAAAAUCAAUAGGAGGUCUGGACUUCCACAUACAUGGUCUUCACAAUCAAA
This is a long non-coding RNA of Hypomesus transpacificus, 1881 nucleotides long. RefSeq lists it as uncharacterized. The transcript is spliced from 2 exons. Lineage: Eukaryota; Metazoa; Chordata; Actinopteri; Osmeriformes; Osmeridae. The record is from RefSeq and is a predicted model, not a curated record.